RNAcentral lists this transfer RNA (85 nucleotides) under Syntrophaceae bacterium. RNAcentral describes it as "tRNA-Leu". It matches the Rfam family "tRNA". Rfam says of the family: Transfer RNA (tRNA) molecules are approximately 80 nucleotides in length. Lineage: Bacteria; Pseudomonadati; Thermodesulfobacteriota; Syntrophia; Syntrophales; Syntrophaceae. RNAcentral also lists the same sequence under 2 other names. The record is from RNAcentral.
GCCGAAGUGGUGGAAUUGGUAGACACGCCAUCUUGAGGGGGUGGUGGGACCUCCCGUGCUGGUUCAAGUCCAGUCUUCGGCACCA